This is a long non-coding RNA of Xiphophorus couchianus (Monterrey platyfish), 1391 nucleotides long. RefSeq lists it as uncharacterized. NCBI's taxonomy places the organism in Eukaryota, Metazoa, Chordata, Actinopteri, Cyprinodontiformes, Poeciliidae. The record is from RefSeq and is a predicted model, not a curated record. The transcript is spliced from 2 exons.
ACCUGUUCCAAAUAAGAGUAUUGAAUAUACCUUUACACAUGUCGUAAGAUUAACUGUAUUAAGCACUAAAAUUAAUCAUUUUUUCCUUAACAGUCCCCCUUUUGAGAUCUUCACCAAAGAUCUCACUAAAAAUUGAUUAAGCCUUCUAAUACAGAACCAAAACUAUGUAUUAAACUAAUAAAAAGAAAAAACGAAAAAAAAUAGAAAACAAAAGAGUGACGUACCCUAAUUAUAUACAGUCCCCCUUUUUAAACAAAACCCAAGGGUAAGAAAUACUUAUCCUUACAAAAAUAUAAACUCAUAAAACAAAAUUAUCACAAUCCAACCAAAACACAGGACAAACAAAAACCCAAAGUAUAAAAUGAAAAAAUAAAACAGGGACAUACAUAGAAAAAUUAGUAAGAAAUAGCCUGCAACUUAAAGGACAACAUUCAUCACAAAAUUACCAUCUGUCAAAAUGAGAAAGACACAAAAUUACAAUCUGUUGCUCGUCUUUUUUCUUUUUAAUGUCCAUCGACAGUCUCUCAAAAAAUAUGAAGUCUUCGUCAGGAAAUGUUCAAAAAUGCGCGCAAAAAACGAAACGAAAGUCCUUUUCAGAGUUCGCAACGAACAAAAACACGCAAUAAAAAGUUAAUGAUGAUCCUCUUGCAGCCUGAUCUUCUUCAGUCGGAAACCUCAGGAAAUGACCUGUCACAGGUUAUUAAAACAGACAUUUUGUUACAACAUGAAUUUCAUUAGCAUCAGAAACACAAUUACAACAUUCUUUAAUAUCAUCUUCAUUACUGUCAGCAUAAUCAAACAAUGGUUUCACCUAAAAAAUAAAUUUGCUUUGUCAUUCUCCAUCAUUACUUUAAUCCUUUUUAUCAAAGAACACAGAUUUUGAAUGAGACCACAUCCGCAGGGCACCAGGAAAACAGCUGCAAAACUGUAAUGACAAAACAGAGAUCAGAUUCUCCAAAGGCAUCAUUCAUUUGUGUAAUCAUCACAAAUAUCUUCAAUUCACUAUGUGUCCGAGUGAAUUCUCCAACGCUCGUGGCUCUGUGGCUGCUAUCGUCGAAAUAAGGUGAAACCGCUUCUCCAAGCAGUCCCACUCUGCCUCGAAUGACAACAGCUUGUGUUACAGAGUCCAGAGUCCUACCUGGAGCUCGGAACUCCAGGCCAGUCUGUGUGUAAAACCAUGAGCAACUCAUCACGUGAAGCCUUAUCUCCUACUUUGUCCAGUUCUGCUCAUUAAAUGGUGGAUGUGAUCCCUUCAAUUUACGUUUCUAUUAUUAUUAUAUACUAUAGCUCCAACCGAUGGAAAACACCAAAACCCUGUAAUCAUUUGCUUCAAAAGACAUGUUUCCAAAGUAAUGUUUUACCAGAAUGUUCAACAAAUGCAGAUCUUUUCU